This 406-nucleotide ribosomal RNA is filed under the name uncultured bacterium. RNAcentral's name for it is "partial 16S ribosomal RNA". It matches the Rfam family "Bacterial small subunit ribosomal RNA", at positions 28 to 526 of the family's 1533-position model. The record is from RNAcentral.
GACGAACGCUGGCGGCGUGCUUAACACAUGCAAGUCGAACGAGUGGCGAACGGGUGAGUAAUACGUGAGUAACCUGCCCUCUUUUUGGGAUAAGCCUUUGAAACGGGGUCUAAUACCGGAUAAAGGGGGAUGGGCUCGCGGCCUAUCAGCUUGUUGGUGGGGUGAUGGCCUACCAAGGCGGUGACGGUUAGCCGGCCUAAGUGGGUGACAGGCCACAUUGGGAAGGGUAUACGGCCACGACUCCCACGGCGGGCAGCGGUGGGGGAAAUUGAAGAAUGGGCGAAAGCAUGAUGCUGCGACUCCGCGUGGGGGAUUAAGGCUUUCGGGUUGUAAACCUCUUUCGCUAACGAAAGGGUAGGUGGAGAAGAAGCGCCGGCUAACUACGUGCCAGCAGCCGCGGUAAUAC